Molecule: small nuclear RNA, 107 nt
Filed under: Carlito syrichta (Philippine tarsier)
Lineage: Eukaryota; Metazoa; Chordata; Mammalia; Primates; Tarsiidae
Source: RNAcentral
GUGCUUGCUUCAGUAGCACACAUACUAAAAUCGGAACAAUACAGAGAAGAUUAGCAUGGCCCCUGCUCAGGGACAACAUGCAAUUUGAUGAAGCAUUCCACUGGAAG